AUGCCCCGAAUAUCCCGGGCUACACGCGAGCUACAAUGGUUGGUACAAUGGGUAUCUACCCCGAAAGGGGACGGGAAUCUCCUAAACCAAUCUUAGUUCGGAUUGAGGGCUGCAACUCGCCCUCAUGAAGCUGGAAUCCGUAGUAAUCGCGUUUCAACAGAACGCGGUGAAUACGUCCCUGCUCCUU
RNAcentral lists this ribosomal RNA (187 nucleotides) under uncultured Methanosaeta sp. RNAcentral describes it as "partial 16S ribosomal RNA". It matches the Rfam family "Archaeal small subunit ribosomal RNA", at positions 1151 to 1338 of the family's 1478-position model. The record is from RNAcentral. Lineage: Archaea; Methanobacteriati; Methanobacteriota; Methanomicrobia; Methanotrichales; Methanotrichaceae.